RNAcentral lists this ribosomal RNA (759 nucleotides) under uncultured Synechococcus sp. Its description in RNAcentral is "bacterial SSU rRNA". It matches the Rfam family "Bacterial small subunit ribosomal RNA", at positions 8 to 812 of the family's 1533-position model. The record is from RNAcentral. Lineage: Bacteria; Bacillati; Cyanobacteriota; Cyanophyceae; Synechococcales; Synechococcaceae.
AGAGUUUGAUCCUGGCUCAGGAUGAACGCUGGCGGUCGGCCUAACACAUGCAAGUCGAACGAAGUCUUCGGACUUAGUGGCGGACGGGUGAGUAACACGUGAGAACCUGCCCUCUGGAGGGGGACAACCGCUGGAAACGGCGGCUAAUACCCCGUAUGCCCUCGGGUGAAAGCUUUUGCGCCAGAGGAGGGGCUCGCGGUCGAUUAGCUAGUUGGUGAGGUAACGGCUCACCAAGGCAGCGAUCGAUAGCUGGUCUGAGAGGACGAGCAGCCACACUGGGACUGAGACACGGCCCAGACUCCUACGGGAGGCAGCAGUGGGGAAUUUUCCGCAAUGGGCGCAAGCCUGACGGAGCCAGACCGCGUGCGGGAAGACGGCCCUUGGGUUGUAAACCGCUUUUCUCAGGGAAGAAGUCAGUGACGGUACCUGAGGAAUCAGCCUCGGCUAACUCCGUGCCAGCAGCCGCGGUAAUACGGAGGAGGCAAGCGUUAUCCGGAAUUAUUGGGCGUAAAGCGUUCGCAGGCGGCCUGACAAGUCUGCUGUCAAAGCCCGCGGCUCAACCGCGGACCGGCAGUGGAAACUGCCAGGCUAGAGUGCGGUAGGGGUAGGGGGAAUUCCCAGUGUAGCGGUGAAAUGCGUAGAUAUUGGGAAGAACACCAGUGGCGAAAGCGCCCUACUGGACCGCAACUGACGCUCAGGGACGAAAGCUAGGGUAGCGAAAGGGAUUAGAUACCCCUGUAGUCCUAGCCGAAACGAUGA